This 459-nucleotide ribosomal RNA is filed under the name uncultured bacterium. RNAcentral's name for it is "partial 16S ribosomal RNA". It matches the Rfam family "Bacterial small subunit ribosomal RNA", at positions 338 to 795 of the family's 1533-position model. The record is from RNAcentral.
CCUACGGGCGGCAGCAGUGAGGAAUAUUGGUCAAUGGGCGGGAGCCUGAACCAGCCAAGCCGCGUGAAGGAAGAAGGCGCCAAGCGUCGUAAACUUCUUUUGUCGGGGAACAAAGGGCGCCACGUGUGGCGUUGUGAGUGUACCCGAAGAAAAAGCAUCGGCUAACUCCGUGCCAGCAGCCGCGGUAAUACGGAGGAUGCGAGCGUUAUCCGGAUUUAUUGGGUUUAAAGGGUGCGUAGGCGGUCCGGAAAGUCAGCGGUAAAAGCCCGGGGCUCAACCCCGGCGAGCAGUUGAAACUGGCAGUCUUGAGUACAGUAGAGGUGGGCGGAAUUCGUGGUGUAGCGGUGAAAUGCUUAGAUAUCACGAAGAACUCCGAUUGCGAAGGCAGCUCACUGGACUGCAACUGACACUGAUGCUCGAAAGUGUGGGUAUCAAACAGGAUUAGAUACCCCGGUAGUC